Molecule: long non-coding RNA, 559 nt
Filed under: Nicotiana benthamiana
Lineage: Eukaryota; Viridiplantae; Streptophyta; Magnoliopsida; Solanales; Solanaceae
Description: long non-coding RNA (NBEN_LNC013382)
Source: RNAcentral
GUAAAUCAAAAUAAACCGUAUAGGCAUGUUAUCUUCCCAACUUUACCCACAACAUACAACCAUCCUCCUUUUUCAUUAGUCACCCUAAUGUUUGUUUCUAAUUAAUUAUUAUAGACCAAGAAUUGAAUGAAUAACAUAAAUAUAAAUAUACAUUUAAACUAUAGGGAGCCUGAAGUAGGCCUAACGUAGUUUCCAAGCCUUCAUUUGCCUCAAAUGCUCAAAGUUCCAAAGCUAAUUUCAUGUCUAGAUGUGUCAGAGUUUCCUAAGGACCUUAAGAAUCCUGAGCAGUACUCACACUCAAACCUUCCUCAAGUAAGAACUGAUUUAUGUGCAGUGUGGGAGUGCCAGCCCUGAUAUGCCAGAGUUCAGACAGAUCUCAAGGGUCUCAAGGCAGUACACAUACCAGAGGGGCAUGACUUAGUAAACUAAGAGUAAAUGAGAGUGCAUAAUGAUUUGAAAGAGUUUGAUAAACAAUAUAAAGAAAUGUCUUAGGAGUGAAAAUAGCUUCUAAAAACCAGUACCAAUUUAGAGAUAAAAAUAGUUUGAGGAAAGUUUGAAA